AAAUGAAUUGACGGGGACCCGCACAAGCGGUGGAGCGCCUGCUUUAAUUCGAUGAUUACCGAAGAACCUUACCAAGCCUUGACAUGCUUCUGCGAAGCCCGCGAAAUCGGGCCGUCCUUCGAGGGAGAAGCACAGGUAUUGCAUGGCUGUUGUCAGCUCGUGUCGUGAGAUGUACCCUUAAGUGGGGUAACGAGCGCAACCCUUAUGGUUAGUUGUAUCACUCUAACAAGACUGCUCGGGCAACCGAGAGGAAGGAGAGGAUGACAAUAAGUCGGCAUGGUCCUUAUGGCUUGGGCAAGACAGGCGCUACAAUGGCCAGUACAACGGGACGCAACACAGUAAUGUGAAGCAAAUCCCUUAAAGCUGGUCUCAGUUCAGAUUGAGGGCUGAAACUCGCCCUCAUGAAGUUGGAAUCGCUAGUAAUCGUAGGUCAGCUAUACUACGGUGAAUACGUUCUCGGGUCUUGUACACACCGCCCGU
This 480-nucleotide ribosomal RNA is filed under the name uncultured bacterium. Its description in RNAcentral is "bacterial SSU rRNA". It matches the Rfam family "Bacterial small subunit ribosomal RNA", at positions 903 to 1397 of the family's 1533-position model. The record is from RNAcentral.